Peromyscus maniculatus bairdii (prairie deer mouse) is the source of this 1162-nucleotide non-coding RNA. NCBI's taxonomy places the organism in Eukaryota, Metazoa, Chordata, Mammalia, Rodentia, Cricetidae. The record is from RefSeq and is a predicted model, not a curated record.
AUGUGAGGUCUCAGCUGCUGUGCCUGUGAUGUCCUUGUCUGCCACCAUGCUCCUCACUAUGAUGAUCAUGGACUCUCCCUCUGAAGUGGUAGAAAACAUUCUGUCUUUCUCACCAUGAAGUGAGACACAUCCUCUGCUACACGUGUCCACCACCAUAAUGGUCUUCCUAAAUGCCUGGAGCCAAGUCACUCUGGACUGAACUCUCUGAAGCUGGGAGCCAAGAGAACUUGGAAGUUUGGAUUGGACACCGAGUCUCCAGCAGCCCCCAGGACUCCCUGCUGCUCUCUGUCCGGGCUGCUUUCAUCAUCCACAUCACAGGGUUUCCUGGCUUCAGCAGACACUCAGCAUCUCAGCCUGAAUCUGAUGUUGGAGAAAGAAAAUGAUAUCAGAGGUGAAUCUGAGGACCUGAGAGUUUGCCACUGUUGCACUGAAGAGCUGGUACCAGCAACUUUCAAACAGGCUCUAGUUAUCCAGCUAACAAGCCUACUCUGGCUCUGUUUGUCUGUGGAGACUAGAGUCUGACCGUGGGGAAGCCCAGGAUAUCCCUGGAAAUUUCUUUCCUGCUUGUUCUGUUUCUUUGAUGUUCUCCAUGUUCGUAAAUGAUUCCACCGAGGGGCAAUGUGGUAGAUUCAAAAUUGGGCCAUAAAUAUUCCCCAUCCUUGUGUUCAUUUGCUUUUGCAAAUUCUCCUGCCUUAAGGUGACGCCUGUUUCUCCUCUGCUUGAACUGGCAUAUGGGAAGAAAGCAGGGACUUGAAGAACACUUGUGAAUUGGGCCUCUGGCUCUUGCCUGCUCUUUAUUAAGCAGUUUACUCCAGUCUCUGGAAUAUCAGAGAUCAAGAACGUGAAACAAAAACAGACAGCCCACAGAGCUUCCCCUAGGCUGUCAAUCCAGUGUGGUGUGGAUAAGGCCAUCUUAAGCCAUUGCCAGCUGACUUCCCAGAUGCCUGACAUACACAGACAAGUCAGUCUGAGACCAACCUGAAGUUGUCAGACCAUAAUAACCUCCAUUGUCAACUAACCAAACAGUUGCUUUAAAAAAUCAGCUGAAUUUUGGUCUGGAGCUAUGGCUCAGUGGUUUAGAGCACUUAUUGCUUUUGCAAAGGACCUGCUUCACCCAGCUCGCAACCAUCUGUAACUCCAUUUUCAGGGGACCCAAUGCCCU